AGAUUUUGCUGUGGAAGGCGUAGUCUGGAGUCAUCUGUUGUUGACACCUUCACAGGAUGGAUGGAGGCAUUUCCUACCUCCAGGGAUAGAGCAGAUGUGGUGGCUCAGGUACUCCUUGAACACAUCAUGCCUUGAUUUGGCUAUUUGGUGUGCCACAGACUAUCCAAACGGACAACACCCAGCCUUCACUUCCAGGGUCAUUGAGCUCGUGUCUGAAGCCCUCAACAUCUCCUGGAAACUCCAUAUCCCCCCAAGCUCCUAGGACAUCAGCGCUGGUACUACCUCUCCAGGCUCCAGUGGGCACCUAUCCAAGACCCUGCCCACCUCAGAAAGACCGCAAAUGUCCAGGUUCCUCCCAAAGCUCAAGACUGUGCCUACAAGUACCGCGCAUUGAACCUAGGACCUCGCACCUGCCAGGAUGUGCUCUCCCACCCAGCUACAUCUCCAGCCCCUCUUUCAGGAUAAUUUAUAUUUGAAAUUAUCCAAGCUGGUCUUGGGCUUUGGGCUUCUCCUACCUCAGCCUCAUGAGAAGCUGAGGUGGCAGGCUUGUAGGACCAGGCCCAGCUUCUGUCUCCUUCCAUCUACUUAAAGAACGUGCUCACUAAAAAGCAACUGGUGAUCUUUACUUAAAGCAACUUUCAUGCUGUCUUGCCAGGGAAGGCACCACUGCUGGGGCCCUUCCCAUUUUGUUCAUGAAUGGGGAAGCAUUUUAAGUCAGCUUAUGUGACCAAACCAUGUCAGUGUCACAGGGCCUCUUCAUACACUGGGAUCUGUCUGCCUUUGGACUUGAGUUCAUCUGAGUCUCCAUGCUCUCAGGCCCCACAUCAAGCAUCUCUACAAUAAAGAAUGGGAGGAAAGCACAUGUCUGUGUUUUCACCACCAGUGA
Molecule: long non-coding RNA, 886 nt
Organism: Peromyscus eremicus (cactus mouse)
Lineage: Eukaryota; Metazoa; Chordata; Mammalia; Rodentia; Cricetidae
Exons: 3
Source: RefSeq, a predicted model, not a curated record